CCUACGGGAGGCAGCAGUGGGGAAUAUUGGGCAAUGGUCGCAAGCCUGACCCAGCAACGCAGCGUGAAGGAAGAAGGCUUUCGGGUUGUAAACUUCUUUUGUCAGGGACGUAGAAAGUGACGGUACCUGACGAAUAAGCCACGGCUAACUACGUGCCAGCAGCCGCGGUAAUCCGUAGGUGGCAAGCGUUAUCCGGAUUUACUGGGUGUAAGGGGCGUGUAGGCGGGACGGCAAGUCAGAUGUGAAAACCACGGGCUCAACCUGUGGCCUGCAUUUGAAACUGUAGUUCUUGAGUACUUGAGAGGUAGACGGAAUUCCUAGUGUAGCGGUGAAAUGCGUAGAUAUUAGGAGGAACACCAGUGGCGAAGGCGGUCUGCUGGACAGCAACUGACGCUGAGGCGCGAAAGCGUGGGGAGCAAACAGGAUUAGAUACCCGUGUAGUC
Molecule: ribosomal RNA, 443 nt
Filed under: uncultured bacterium
Lineage: Bacteria
Description: partial 16S ribosomal RNA
Rfam family: Bacterial small subunit ribosomal RNA
Source: RNAcentral